Ostrea edulis (European flat oyster) is the source of this 1009-nucleotide long non-coding RNA. RefSeq lists it as uncharacterized. The record is from RefSeq and is a predicted model, not a curated record. NCBI's taxonomy places the organism in Eukaryota, Metazoa, Mollusca, Bivalvia, Ostreida, Ostreidae. The transcript is spliced from 3 exons.
ACAUGAUUUUUGGAUUAUUAUACUGGAACUACGAUUUUGGAUUAUUUUGUGUGUGUAGAUUCUGUUCGGAUUUAGUAUUCAACUACCCACACAUCUCGGUCAGACUUGAAUGGAUGCCGGUCGAAAUUGGUCCUAGGCUUCAUGAAAAGACACUGGAAGUGUGAAACGUUAUUAACAGAGGAGGGACAAGUAAUCACAUUUUAUAUCAUUCAUACAGAGAAGUCACUAACUUAGGAGAAGAGCCACAGAUUUUGACCCAUGCAUGGUGCCGAGGGCCGCAGCAGUGAGUUGGCCAACGCCUAAACUCAAAUAUCAUUCACUGAAGAGAUCGUAAAUUUAGUAAUGAUGUUCGCAUUAAAUCGAUUAUUGCUACCCUCAAUUCAAUUGAUGCGUACAUCAAUUUAGUCAUUGCUAUCAUCAAUUAAAUAUAUCUUCAAUUGUUUGAAUUUGCACGCCAUAUACACGGGGCCCGCGAAAGAUCGAUGUCUUUCAUUUCUAAUGCUGGGAGCUUGCAGGAGAAGCCUUGCCUAUUUUGUUCAUUUGUUGUUUUUUUUAAGUCCCUUUAAGAAUUGAGGAUUCUUUAUCGUGUCAACGACUGCAGAAAUUUGCUAUAUGCAAUUAUGUAUGGCAAAACUUCCGGAUUUGCAAUAUGGCGAAUCCCCAUUGCACCCACAGAAGAAAUGCAAAACUUCCCCUUCAGGGAAUUUCUUCUACCUGAAUGUUUUCGAUUUACUGAUUUCCCACCAUUAUGAUUAUUCAGAUACCGUACACAAUCGAAUACUAUUUUUCACCGAAAUAUUUCCGAUUAGUAGUUUUCUAUCAAAUUCAAAUUGUUAUCAUCAAAAAGAGAAAUAUCAGUUUCACGUAUUUGAAGAAAGGUUUAUCCACCUGGUCACUCACAAAGGCAAGAGCCGCCGAAAAAAAUGCCUCGAAAGUUACUAAAGGCAAGCAGUUGAGAGAAUCUGAUGACGAACAAAGUGUGAAAGAAAUUCGUUAUACUUUUCAUGAC